AGAGUUUGNUCAUGGCUCAGAACGAACGCUGGCGGCAGGCCUAACACAUGCAAGUCGAACGAAGCCUUCGGGCUUAGUGGCGGACGGGUGAGUAACGCGUGGGAACGUGCCCUUCUCUACGGAAUAGUCCUGGGAAACUGGGUUUAAUACCGUAUACGCCCUUCGGGGGAAAGAAUUUCGGGGAAGGAUCGGCCCGCGUUGGAUUAGGUAGUUGGUGGGGUAAUGGCCUACCAAGCCGACGAUCCAUAGCUGGUUUGAGAGGAUGAUCAGCCACACUGGGACUGAGACACGGCCCAGACUCCUACGGGAGGCAGCAGUGGGGAAUCUUAGACAAUGGGGGCAACCCUGAUCUAGCCAUGCCGCGUGAGUGACGAAGGCCCUAGGGUCGUAAAGCUCUUUCGCCAGGGAUGAUAAUGACAGUACCUGGUAAAGAAACCCCGGCUAACUCCGUGCCAGCAGCCGCGGUAAUACGGAGGGGGUUAGCGUUGUUCNGGAAUUACUGGGCGUAAAGCGCGCGUAGGCGGACUAUUAAGUCAGAGGUGAAAUCCCGGGGCUCAACCCCGGAACUGCCUUUGAUACUGGUAGUCUUGAGUUCGAGAGGGGUGAGUGGAAUUCCGAGUGUAGAGGUGAAAUUCGUAGAUAUUCGGAGGA
This 651-nucleotide ribosomal RNA is filed under the name uncultured Alphaproteobacteria bacterium. RNAcentral describes it as "bacterial SSU rRNA". It matches the Rfam family "Bacterial small subunit ribosomal RNA", at positions 8 to 705 of the family's 1533-position model. The record is from RNAcentral. Lineage: Bacteria; Pseudomonadati; Pseudomonadota; Alphaproteobacteria.